Molecule: ribosomal RNA, 504 nt
Filed under: uncultured bacterium
Lineage: Bacteria
Description: bacterial SSU rRNA
Rfam family: Bacterial small subunit ribosomal RNA
Source: RNAcentral
CAGAACGACGCUGGCGGCGCGUUUAAGCAUGCAAGUCGAGCGGCAAGGGCCUUCGGGCCCCUAGAGCGGCGGACGGGUGAGUAACACGUGGACAAUCUCGGCCCCCCGGCCCGGGAUAGCCCAGGGAAACCUGGAUUAAUACCGGAUGAGACGGGACCCGCGAUGGCGGGAUCCGGGAAAGGCGCUGCGGCGCCGCCGGGGGAUGAGUCUGCGUCCCAUUAGCUAGACGGCGGGGUAACGGCCCACCGUGGCGACGAUGGGUAGCCGGCCUGAGAGGGUGGACGGCCACAUUGGAACUGAGACACGGUCCAGACUCCUACGGGAGGCAGCAGCUAAGAACCUUCCGCAAUGGGCGAAAGCCUGACGGAGCGACGCCCGCGUGAACGAAGAAGGCCGUGAGGUUGUAAAGUUCUUUUCGGGAGGGGGAACAACCGUGGCAGGGAAUGGCCGCGGGAUGACGUGAAUCCCGGAAUAAGCCCCGGCUAACUACGUGCCAGCCGCUGC